UCAUUUAUCUAAUAAUUUCAAUAAGUGUUUGAUUUGUCCUAAUGUCAAACUUCCAAAGUCAUUUUUUCUCUAUAAUUUUAUUUUUAAAACGCUUUCAUUAAGUUAUAAAGAAUUGCCAAUAAUGAUGCUAUUAACCUGAUUUUUGUUUUAGUACGUAGCAUAUAUUUUUAUAUAUUACGUUUUAGUAUGUGUGUUCCAAACUUUCUGCAACUUAUAAUAAAACUCCAUUCUAUAGAGUUUGUUUGUGAUGAUUAAUGUGCCACCACAUAAAUGUAGCAAAUAUUAAUGAAGCUAUGGCAAUAAACUUAAUGUUGACACAAAAAUGCCAAAUCUCAAGUUAAAUGGUUUAUCUAAAUCUUUUAAAACGGAUGCAAGCACUAAGAAGAAAAUAACGUUACAAAUUGAAGCAGAAAUUUAAUGAAUCAUAUUGACGAUUGGAUAUGAAUCGCACAAAAACACCAUUGUCGAAUGGUUAUGAAUCAAAUAUUUGUAUU
This is a non-coding RNA of Hydra vulgaris (swiftwater hydra), 494 nucleotides long. The record is from RefSeq and is a predicted model, not a curated record. Lineage: Eukaryota; Metazoa; Cnidaria; Hydrozoa; Anthoathecata; Hydridae.